GGCGAAAUUGUAGUGCAAGUGAAGAUGCUUGCUACCCGCGAUUGGACGGAAAGACCCCGUAGAGCUUUACUGUAGCUUAGCAUUGAAUCUCGGUAUUGUCUGUACAGGAUAGGUGGGAGACUUGGAAGCUUGGGCGUCAGCCUGAGUGGAGUCAUCCUUGGGAUACCACCCUGACAGUACUGGGGUUCUAACCGGCGACCAUGAAUCUGGUCACGGGACAUUGUUAGGUGGGCAGUUUGACUGGGGCGGUCGCCUCCUAAAAAGUAACGGAGGCGCCCAAAAGUUCCCUCAGCGCGGUCGGAAAUCGCGCGAAGAGUGCAAAGGCAGAAGG
This 331-nucleotide ribosomal RNA is filed under the name Clostridium botulinum. RNAcentral's name for it is "partial 23S ribosomal RNA". It matches the Rfam family "Bacterial large subunit ribosomal RNA", at positions 2035 to 2364 of the family's 2925-position model. Lineage: Bacteria; Bacillati; Bacillota; Clostridia; Eubacteriales; Clostridiaceae. The record is from RNAcentral.